Molecule: ribosomal RNA, 401 nt
Filed under: uncultured Beijerinckiaceae bacterium
Lineage: Bacteria; Pseudomonadati; Pseudomonadota; Alphaproteobacteria; Hyphomicrobiales; Beijerinckiaceae
Description: bacterial SSU rRNA
Rfam family: Bacterial small subunit ribosomal RNA
Source: RNAcentral
AACGAACGCUGCGGCAGGCCUAACACAUGCAAGUCGAACGCUGUAGCAAUACAGAGUGGCAGACGGGUGAGUAACGCGUGGGAACAUGCCCUUCGGUUCGGAAUAACUCAGGGAAACUUGAGCUAAUACCGGAUACGCCCUUAGGGGGAAAGAUUUAUUGCCGAAGGAUUGGCCCGCGUCCGAUUAGCUAGUUGGUGAGGUAAUGGCUCACCAAGGCGACGAUCGGUAGCUGGUCUGAGAGGAUGAUCAGCCACACUGGGACUGAGACACGGCCCAGACUCCUACGGGAGGCAGCAGUGGGGAAUAUUGGACAAUGGGCGCAAGCCUGAUCCAGCCAUGCCGCGUGAGUGAUGAAGGCCCUAGGGUUGUAAAGCUCUUUCGCCAGGGACGAUAAUGACGGU